UACGAAGGUCCCAAGCGUUAUCCGGAUUUAUUGGGUUUAAAGGGUGCGUAGGCGGGCUAUUAAGUCAGUGGUGAAAGCCCCAAGCUUAACUUGGGAACUGCCAUUGAUACUGAUGGUCUUGAGUACAUUUGAGGUGGGCGGAAUGUGUCAUGUAGCGGUGAAAUGCUUAGAUAUGACACAGAACACCAAUUGCGAAGGCAGCUCGCUAAACUGUAACUGACGCUGAGGCACGAAAGCGUGGGGAUCAAACAGG
RNAcentral lists this ribosomal RNA (253 nucleotides) under uncultured bacterium. RNAcentral describes it as "partial 16S ribosomal RNA". It matches the Rfam family "Bacterial small subunit ribosomal RNA", at positions 524 to 776 of the family's 1533-position model. The record is from RNAcentral.